Molecule: long non-coding RNA, 735 nt
Organism: Anthonomus grandis grandis
Lineage: Eukaryota; Metazoa; Arthropoda; Insecta; Coleoptera; Curculionidae
Exons: 2
Source: RefSeq, a predicted model, not a curated record
CCUUUGUUUUUCAACCCUCUUUAUAUAUGUAUAUUUACUUGGUCGUAAACAGUUUGUUCAGUACAAUGGAUAUAAAUCCGUACAAUUUGUAACAUCAGACGUGCCAGAGGGCAUCAAUCUUAACCCAUUGCUAUUCUUGGUCUUUUUAAAUGAACAUUGGCGAUGUUAUAAAUGUCCAUUUUCAAUUAUUUGCAGACGAUUUAAGAUUUUACUUGAUCGUGGAGACUUACGAGGAUUGCGAGAGACUCCAAUGUAGCUUAGACUUUGUUUAGGAAUCUUGCGUUCAGAAUAGGCUAUUAUUGAAUAUCGAUAAGUGUCCGAUGAUGUUUGUUGAAGGAGAUCUCCUGUAAAGUGCGAUUAUUAUGUUGGUCAUUUUAUUCUGGCCAGAACGCACUACAGUACACGAGAUUUGAAAGUAUAAAUUGAAGCGCUCGGGGGAACAAGUCAACAAAGUCAUAUGCCACCUCAAAAGCAACAUGGCCGCACAGAAGCAGGUGUCUGUUGAACGUAAUCUGUGUAAAAACGAAGUUUCUAGUGCUAGUUCGGAAAGUGAUUUCGAUUCAAAUGAUAGUGUAAGAGACCGAAAUUAUAAUCCCGAUGAUAGCAGCUCCGAUUCUUUCACGGACGACGAUUUAUCGGCAAGUAAACAAUAUUGUGGCUUAUGACCGUCUUGCUCUUUUUUGUUGUGGCAUAUGCCUUUUUACUACGAUACUGUAAUAAAUUUAGUUUUUUGGA